This 2577-nucleotide long non-coding RNA is filed under the name Pan troglodytes (chimpanzee). RNAcentral describes it as "long non-coding RNA NONPTRT012534". The record is from RNAcentral. Lineage: Eukaryota; Metazoa; Chordata; Mammalia; Primates; Hominidae.
CUGGGGGAACAGAAGCUCUAUUUCUGUUAGGUUGCUAGAGUGGUUGGUGCCAUCUUGUCACCUUGAAGGGAAAGCCCACCCAAGAAUGACACCAACACAGAGGGAAGUAAACAGAGCCAAGAGGUCAGCAGAGGUGGUUCCUGGUGCCAUUAUCCAGCACCCAGCUACAGACCAGAGCUUCAUAAACCUAUUUCUGACUGCAGGGAGAGGCCUAUACUAGUCCAUGUCAUGGAACACCUAUGGAUCAACACUGGUCAGGAGGAGACACGAAGGCCAUACCGGGAGCUGCUCUCUGAUUACCAGGACUCCUGAAACACAGAGCUCAUGGUGUCCGUGGGAUAUGAGGCAGACCACAUCCAGUCCUUGUUAGAACAAAAAUUUGAUGAUACCAUGGCCUGGUACUGAAUCCUGGGCUACAGGAAACCUGAUGCAGGGCUCCAUCAUCACAGCAAAGUCUUUGCCUUCAGUGGAUCCCACCCAACAGCUACUAGCCUUCCCCAUCACCUGAAAGAAACUCUUAUGCUUUAACAUACAAAACUUGUUAAAAACAUUGGGAAAAGGUGCACAGUUCGUAUGUUCUUCAUUUGUUCACUCUUAAGGGUACAAAGUGUCUUGUCAUUCGUGCUGGUCUAAAUAUUGUGGGUUGACAUAAAAUUUGAGGUAUAGUAAGGCCAACAGGUCAGGAAACAAGUAUUGUACAACUGAAAAGAUAAUUUGUUGCCCACAGUUCCCCAGGGGACAGGCACACAACAUGCAGGACCACACAGGGAAGCACCGGUGGGGGUCAGUAGGCAGAGGGAGUGGGAGAGCUGUGGGCAAGAACCUUUGUUGUGCUUCCUUCUCGGUUUUGCCCAGGAACAGCUCCUUGGCGACAGCUUGGAUGGGUGGACUGGUGUACAGCAGGUGCCAGCACAUGGUGAAGGCCACUGGAGACUGGCAGGAAUGCACCUCACUUGGGGUAGGCUGCAAGAGCCCAGUGCUGCUCAUGCUGCCCUGGUUGCUGUGGCCACUACUGCCAUUCCCUGCUCAGCACUUCAGCAUCUGGUCUGUGCAGCCUGAUGAUGCCCUCUCUUUUCUAGUUUUAAGACUUGUGUGUUUUGUAAAGGCCUUACUGUAUGUAAAUUAGUUCUCAAUUUAAAAAGAAAAUACCAAGACAAGUAAGGAGAAAUAUUUUUCAAAUGCCUAUUGGGGCCAAAGCCAGGACUGUUUUGAAAGUGUCUAGUUCUUCCAAGUACUCUCUUUUCUUUCUUUCCUUCCUUUUUUCCUUUCCUUGUUUCCUCUUCUUUUACAACAGUGAACACUCCCAAAUCUAGCACCUACUAACAGGUAUUUCUGUACCAUCACUUUUUCGAAAACUGUAAUUAUUAAUCGUACAGGAUUUGAAGGUUUUUUUCUAUUUAUGUCCCAAAAUACAAUUAGCUUCUAGUGAAUUCUUAUCCUUUGAUGUCAGCUAGGGAAACACUUCAGAGACAUAAAUAUUGUGAGCCAAGUGACAUGCCACCAUCCCACAAUGGGUCUCACUGCCUAAGAGAAUGGGCCAGUCAUGGUAGGGGUAAGACAAGGAUUUCAAUCUAUGAUCCUGCUAAUGGGCCAGAAAUAGUCCAAUUUUCUUAGUUAUUUGAGGACUGAGAACUUCUCAAGACUUAGUGAAUCGCAUAAGGGUGUUCAGAUCAGAGUACAGUAUUCAGAGUUUCUGAUUAAAACUGACUUUUAAAAGUGAGCAAAAUGAAUAUUCUGCGCUGACAGCUUUGCCUGCACUAAUGGUCCAGGGAGAGUCACAUGGAUUUUUCUUCCUGGAAAGGGCCACAGGAAUAGCCAUGCCUUUACAGUGUUUGCAUGUUGUUGAGUGGAUGUUCUUAGUUUUCCACCUGGUUUGACCCUAAUAGGUUAUAUGGCAAAUAUAAAACCUCUGUGAACCUUGAUUUUUCUGGGGAAAGGAGAGAGGAGGAAAGAAAAAAACAUACCAAUAGUAUCAAAUCAGCCUCAGAUCUUCAGGACAGACGGCGCUAAAAUACACAAUAUUACUAAUGAGUAGCUGCAAAUGGGGGGUGGGGGAGAACAGAAGGCUGAUUUUGCUUUAUCUGUAAGCCAUAUGUUCUCACAAUAAUGACUUUAACUCUGGACUCCUAGGGGGCAUAUUAACUAAGUAAUGUUUCAUAGAAAUAUGUAAUUAACCUACCUGUGGAGCCUCUUUCCAUGCAUUAUGGAAAGAUCACAAAAUAUUGCCCUGGAUUUCUUGGGCAAGAUUCCUGAUACCUGUCAUAAAUUCUUGGGAAAGCUGAGUCCUAGAACUACUUUUCAAAUUUUAGGUUUACACAUUUCUUUCAGGAGCAGUGUAUCUACUAUGGAUGAUCUUACACAAGCAUUUUCUCUUCUGAUCUUUGUUCUUAUUAGCUAAUUGUAAAAUUCAAUCAGGAACUGAUGAAGGGGUUGAAACUCAAGUUUACUUGCUACUUGUUAGAAUCUUUGAAUUAUUUGAGGUUUUAAUCAUCAGUGUUGUAUUAGUCCGUUCUCACACUGCUAUGAAGAACUACCUGAGACUGGGUAAUUUAUGAAUAAAAGAGAUUUAACUGAUUC